Molecule: ribosomal RNA, 2868 nt
Filed under: Melanogrammus aeglefinus (haddock)
Lineage: Eukaryota; Metazoa; Chordata; Actinopteri; Gadiformes; Gadidae
Description: eukaryotic LSU rRNA
Rfam family: Eukaryotic large subunit ribosomal RNA
Source: RNAcentral
AGGGCGAAGCCCAGAGGAAACUCUGGUGAGAGCGCCGCAGCGGUCCUGACGUGCAAAUCGGUCGUCCGACCUGGGCAUAGGGGGCGAAAAGACUAAUCGAACCAUCUAGUAGCUGGUUCCCCUCCGAAGUUUCCUCAGGAUAGCUGGCGCUCAUUACUUACUCGCAGUUUUUAUUCGGUAAGCGAAUGACUAGAGGCCUUGGGCGGCGACACGAUCUCAACCUAUUUCUCAAACUUUAAAUGGGGUAAAGAGGGCCCUGCUCGCUGGCUUGGAGCAGGUCGUUGGAAAUGCGAGUGCCCAGUGGGGUCCACUUUUGGUAAGCAGAACUGGCGCUGGCGGGAUGAACCGAACGCGCGGUUAAGGCGCCCGAUGCCCGACGCUCAUCAGACCCCAGAAAAGGUGUUGGUUCUGAUAUAGACAGCAGGACGGUGGCCAUGGAAGUCGGAAUCCGCUAAGGAGUGUGUAAACAACUCACUGCCCGAAUCAAACUAGCCCUGAAAAUGGAUGGCGCUGGAGCGUCGUCGGGCCCAUACCCGGCCGUCGCUGGCGAGUCGGAGCCUCGUGGGAUCUACGCCGCGAUGAGUAGGAGGGGCCGCCGCGGUGCGCACACGGAGAAGCCUAGGGCGCGCGGGCCGGGUGGAGCCGCCGCGGGUGUGCAGAUCUUGGUGUAGUAGCAAAUAUUCAAACGAGAACUUUGGAAGGCCGAAGUGGGGAGAAGGGUUCAUGUGAACAGCAGUUGAACAUGGGUCAGUGCGGUCCUCUAAGAGAUUGGCGAACGCCGUUUCAAGUAGGCGGGGGCGAUGGCCUCCGUCGCCCCCCGGGGAUCGAUCGAAAGGGAGUCGGGUCUCAGAUCCCCGAAUCUGGAGAGGCGGAGAUAGGCGCCGCGAGGCGUCCCAGUGCGGUGAAACGCAAAACGACCCCGGAGAAGCUGGCGGGAGCCCCGCGAAGAGUUCUCUUUUCUCUUUGUGAAGGCAGGGCACCCUGGAAUGGGUUCGCCCCGAGAUAGGGGCCCGUGCCCUGGAAAGCGUCGCGGUUCCGCGGCGUCCCGGUGAGCUCUCGCUGGCCCUUGAAAAUCCGGGUGAGAAGGUGUAAAUCUCGCGCCAGCGGCCGUAGUACCUAUAUCCGCAGCAGGUCUCCAAGGGUGAACAGCCUCUGGCAUGAUGGACACAGGGGGUAAGGGAAGUCGGCAAAUCAGAUCUCCGUAACUUCGGGAUAAGGAUUGGCUCUAAGGGCUGGGUCGGUCGGCUGCUGGGGUGCGAAGCGGGGCUGGGCCUGGCCGCGCUGGCUGGGAAGCAGCCACCGCCGCCUCCUGUCGUCCUCCCCUCUGAAGCGUCUCUGCGCGGCGGGGUGGGCUCGAGGGUCUUUGCGCGUGGCGUCGGCUCUUCGGGGGUCGUCGCGGCGCGGGGCUCGAGGGUCUGCUCUCGUCCGGGGGCGUGGAGGUGGGGGUGUGGGGGCUUCAGGCUCGGGCGGCGUGGUCGGUGGCGACGUCUGGACGUGGCGUCGGGCCCUUCUCGCGGAUCUCCUCAGCUACGGUGACUGUAGCGGCUUCCACCCGGGGGGUCGCGGCGGCUCGCCUCGGCUGGCACCUAGCAGCUGACUUAGAACUGGUGCGGACCAGGGAAUCCGACUGUUUAAUUAAAACACGAGCAUCGCGGAGGGCCCCAGCGGGUGUUGACGCAAUGUGAUUUCUGCCCAGUGUGCCUCUGAAUGUCCAAAGUGAAGAAAUUCCAAUGUGAAGCGGCGUGGUAAACGGCGGGAGUAACUAUGACUCUCUUAAGGUAGCCAAAUGCCUCCGUCAUCUAAUUAGUGACGCGCAGAUGAAUGGAUGGAUAGACGAGAUUCCCACUGUCCCUACCUACUAUAUCACAGCGAAACCACAGCCAACGGGAACGGGCUUGGCAGAAUCAGCGGGGGGAAAGAAGACCCUGUUGAGCUUGACUCUAGUCUGGUAGUCGUAGUACUUGGAAGAGACAUGAGAGGUGUAGAAUAAGUGGGAGGUCCCGGCCGACGUUGAAAUACCACUACUCUUAUCGUUUUUUCCACUUACCCGGUGAGGCGGGAGGCGAGCCCCGAGCGGGUUUCUUCUCUUCUGGUGUCAAACCCCCGGCCUGGCCGGGGGCAACCCGUCCCGGGGACAGUGACAGGGUGGGAGUUUGACUGGGGCGGUACACCCUGUCAAACGGUAACGCAGGUGUCCUCUAAGGCGAGCUCAGGGGAGGACAGAAACUCUCCGGUGGAGCAGAAGGGCAAAAGCCUCGCUUGAUCUUGAUUUUUCAGUAUGAGUACAGACCGUGAAAGCGCGGCCUCACGAUCCUUCUGACGUUUUGGGUUUUAAGCAGGAGGUGUCAGAAAAGUUACCACAGGGAUAACUGGCUUGUGGCGGCCAAGCGUUCAUAGCGACGUCGCUUUUUUGAUCCUUUCGAUGUCGGCUCUUCCCUAUCAUUGUGAAGCAGAAUUCACCAAGCGUUGGAUUGUUCCACCCACUACUAAUGGAACGUGAGCUGGGUUUAGACCGUCGUGAGGACAGGUUAGUUUUACCCUUACUGAUGAUGUGUUGUUGCAAUAGUAAAUCCUGCUCAGUACCGAGAAGGAACCGCAGGUUCAGACAUUUGGUGUUAUGUGCUUGGGCUGAGGAGCCAAUGGGGCGAAGCUACCAUCUGUGGGCUUAUGACUGAACGCCUCUAAGUCAGAAUCCCCCUAGAUGUGAUUGAUACCAUAGUGCCCGGGCUAUAAGAUUGAUCCGGGAUAACCGACCCCCCGGGGCCGGCGCAGAAAGGACAUUUGAUACUGGCUUGGGGUGCGGCCGGAAUGAUGGUCGCCCUCUCCAUGAUCACACCACAUGUUUACCAAGGACUGGGUGUUAAAACC